This 3584-nucleotide long non-coding RNA is filed under the name Salvia miltiorrhiza (redroot sage). RNAcentral describes it as "long non-coding RNA (SMIL_LNC008073)". The record is from RNAcentral. Lineage: Eukaryota; Viridiplantae; Streptophyta; Magnoliopsida; Lamiales; Lamiaceae.
UUCCAUUACGAUUCAUCCUACUUAAAACACCGCCUCACUUUUUUAUCAAAGUAGCUUCUUUCAUUUUCUGGAAAUAUUUCGAAAACACAGCUGCUCAUUUCCAGUGUUGUUCCUCUCGCCUCCAGUGGUAAAUUUUAAAUUUAUGUACAGAGAUUAUGCAAUUCUAUUCCAGCACAUCAAUGAUUUCUUCAUUGUUUUCAUAUCUGCCCAAAAACCAAAACUUUACAACAGAAUUCUGUUUUCAAAUCAAAACAUGUAUACAUCCAUUUUUCUGUAAUUUCCAUAAGGAAAUCAAAUAGAACACAGAUAUUAUUAAUUACACAGAAACGGAAAAAUAGGAGAAUAAAGUGGAGAUGGAGUUUGUGGCAUAGAACAGGGGGAAAUCGGGUGUAUGAUUGCUGGAAAACAGGAGAGGCGAAGGGGGAGCUGGCUAGUAGGCGUCGCCGGGCGCUGCCGCGCCACGGCGGCCGGCGAAGAUGGGCAGGGAGGUGGCGACGGCGGCUGGGCUGUGCUGCUGUCAACGCGGAGACGGCGAUGGUGGCAGCUGCCGUCGACCAGAAGAGGGCGAGAAGUGAGAGAUAAGGGAAGAGGGAGAGAGAGGCUGAAGGAAAGAGAGAGGAGGCAGGGCCGCCGGCUCCGGCGACGGCGCUGCCGUCCGGUGGUGGCGGUAGGAGGAGGGCCGAGGGGAGAGUAGGAGGGAGGGAGAAUGAGGAGCUGCUGCUGUGCGUAAGUUUUGUGUGUGUUGGGGUGUGAGUGAGUGAGUGAGUGUUAUAUUAAGGGUUGAUAGUAGGCCUUGGGCUUGGGCUUAGGUUAGUUUAAUUUUAAAUGGGCUCAGGUUUAUUAAAUGAUUGGGCUAUAAUUUGAUUAGCUAUUGCACUAAUUUAUUUUAUCAAAAUGCUUGCAUUUGCAUAUUAUUUUUCAAAAGAUGUCAUUAAUACAAUAUUUGGGCUAGAUUAUUAAUUUGAACUUAGUUUUACUUAAAUAUUGAGCCCAAAUCUUUUUAUAAGAAAAACUCUUAUAUAAUCUAUUAGACCAAUGUUUUCUUUAAAUGAUUUUAUGAUAAUAAAUUCUUAAGAUUUAAACUACUUAAUUAUUAUUUUUAAAGUUCAAUUAGGCCCUUAUGUAUUAUUAUUUGAAUUUAUCUGACUAGGUGCGGCGCGACUAGAACGUUACUUUUAUUUGAUUUACUCAAGUUAGCAUACAAGUUGAAGUUCAAGUUCAAGUUCAAAAUUCAGGUGUGGGAUUUAUUUCAGUACAUGCACGUGGUUAAUUCUUGUCCAUUUUAAUAUCAUGUGUUUACCAUAUGUGAGUUGCAUUAAAUUAUAUCGCUAGGGGCCCGCUCAAUGGGUCCAGGACUUCACAGUCCUUGGUAUGCCACAAUGCGAUUUCAUGUUAAAGUUAUGGUUGCAACCAGUCGCCAGGGGCCGGCUAAAUCGGUCCAGGACGGAAAGGUCCUUGGUAUGCCACCGUGCGACUUUCAGUUACGAAUGUAUUGAUCAUAUGUGAUUCUCAUUUUAUUAACGUGGACAAUGAUUGCAUGUUCCCACACUGAGUGUACCCUGUAUGCUCAUCCCAUAUUCAACAUUUUCAGGUUUUAAAGGUCGGAGGCGCGUGGAAGGUCGAAUGGCGAGUCAAAUAUUUUGAAUUUAGUUUUACUUAAAAAUGUUAUUUUGAGUAAAGUAUGUUUAAAGAAAAAUGUAUUUCUUUAUUUUCACAUUAAAUAUUUAUUUAUAGUCAUGAUUUUUCCGCGUGCGUUUUCAUUUAAAUUUAAAAUGGAUUUGGGUGUCACAAGGUGGUAUAAGAGCAGGUCUACUUUCCUGUAGACUCUGCAAAAUAAAAAUUUCAUAAAAUUCUUAAAAGUCACGUGUGACGAAGCUAUUCGACCGCUACGCGCUCCGACUUCAAGGUAAAAGUAUUUGAAAAGUUUUCAAGGGGAUGAGUAUAAAUUAUUUACGUUGAAAGUAUGUUGAAAUUUGCUGCAAUAAUUGAAGUUAUUAUGAGAAAUUUCAAGUUCAGUAUUCAAGUUAUUAUGUUGAAGAUUAUUGCAGCUAUGAAUUGUUAAAUUUCGAGGACGAAAUUUUUUUUAAGUGGGUAGGUUUGUCACAACCCAAAACCGUUUACUUCCUUUGCAAUUUUUUAUUUAGAAAAUAUUAUAGUUUCGAGUUAUAUAUAAUAUAUAUAUAUAUAUAUCAUGAGUCGAGUUUUGUGAUGAAUCUAGUCGCGCCCCUAGUUAGAUAUUAAUUUUAGAUUACAGAUUUUUACUUAGCAAUAAAUAUUUACAUAAUUGGGCUGAAUGAAUAUUUGCAUAUAUUUUUUAUAUUAUUGGGCCUAAAUAAAAACUAGUUGUAGUCUAUUUUUUUUAUUGGGCUUCACUUACUUGUAUUGCUUUUGGAUAUACAUGUCUUCUUUUUUUAUCAACUCAAAUUUUCAGCCACAUUUUCUGAUUUUGGACGUGUUCCAUUCCUCAGCCACAAUUAUAUUUUUCACUUCAUCUAUCAAUUACUUUUGAAAUCUUGUACCGCAAGUUCCAUUACGAUUCAUCCUACUUAAAACACCGCCUCACUUUUUUUAUCAAAGUAGCUUCUUUCAUUUUCUGGAAAUAUUUCGAAAACACAGCUGCUCAUUUCCAGUUGUUCCUCUCGCCUCCAGUGGUAAAUUUUAAAUUUAUGUGCAGAGAUUAUGCAAUUCUAUUCCAGCACAUCAAUGAUUUCUUCAUUGUUUUCAUAUCUGCCCAAAAACCAAAACUUUACAAUAGAAUUCUGUUUUCAAAUCAAAACAUGUAUACAUCCAUUUUUCUGUAAUUUCCAUAAGGAAAUCAAAUAGAACAAAGAUAUUAUUAAUUACACAGAAACGGGAAAAAUAGGAGAAGAAAUGGAGAUGGGAGUUUGUGGGAGUUUGUGGCAAAGAAUAGGGGAGGGACGGUGGAAUAGCGCCGCCGGCGCUUCGCGCCACGGCGGCUGGCGGGAGGAGACAGGGAGGUGGUGCGGUGGCUUCGGCCGCUGUUGUGCAGUUCCGGUCGGACAAAGGGAGGAGGCGGAUGGGCGGUGCUGGAUCUGGAAAAGGGGGGCGGCGGCUGGGCUGUGCUGCUGUCGACGCGGAGGCGGCGAUGGCGGUGCUGCUGCUAGCCGGGCGAGCGACAGGGGAGAAGCGUGGUUGUGGCGGUGGCUGGCGGAGGUGUCGCCGGAGAAUGGUGGACGUUGCUGUUGGGUACGGUGGGGGAAGAGUGAGAGGGAGAUUAGAGGUGAGGAAAGGAGAGAGGUCGAAGGGAAGGAGAGAGAAGGCGGAGCCGCCGGCCUCCGGGGACGGCGCUGCCGUCCGGGGGCGGCGGCAGGAGGUCGCAAAGAGCGAGAGAGAGUGAGCGGCAAAGAGGGAGAAGGGAAAUGGGAGCUGCGUGAGUUUUGUGAGCAAUUAGGGUGUGUGAGUUUAAAUUAGGGGAGUUGGAAGAGUGGGCUUGGGCUCUUUUUGAUUUUAAUUUAUUGGGCUGGGCUCCCUUUAUUUAAAAUGAUUGGACUUCAUAUUUUAAAUUUCAUUAUUGCAUUGGACCUGAUUUUAUUAAAUCCCAACUCAAAUUUUAAAGAAACAUG